GCAUUCUUUGUUUUUUUUCCUCAGCUGCUGUGAUAUCGUGCCCCAGUCUAGGAUUUCAGUCGAGAUACGAUGUCCAGCAAUCUACCAGGUUCGAUCGAGUUGCAAAAUCCCGUUUUUUUUCUCCGCCGUUGCGCGAUAUCUUAACCCAGUCAAGGGUUUCGAUCGAGUUGCUUCAUCUUCUUACUAUGGAUCCAUCAAUCUACCGGUUACAGAUGCAUCAUCUUAAAGUCUUUAUUAAAUCCAUCAUCCACGAUUUACAAUCAGUGUGAGGUUCUCUCUUGAAAGGCGGUGGAGAUUCGAUAUAAAAAGGUUAACAUCUCUACUCUCAAAAUCAUCCUACCAAUCUAUUCAAACAGGGAAAUCCACUUAUUUUCUGAGAAAUUGCUAACUCACAACCUUUUCUUUCCGAUUUGAACACGUUUCUCCCACAAUUGAGGUCAGGACAUAACUCUCAAUUGCCAAGCUCCUCUUUCCUACUCGACGAUUUGAAAGUCGGCCAUUGUAAUACUGGUCACGGUUAUCUUCUUCUGAGAGUUUUAGGGUUUUGUUAUGUGUUGUGCAGAUGAUCUUUAUCCUCUAUUGGCAAAGCCUGGAAAGGUCGUGGAUUUUUUAUUCUCAGAGAUUGAAGGGCUGUAUUUGCAAAACUUGCUCUGUUUCUCUUUGCAAGCUAACUAUGGAAUGACCCGAGAGAAAAAAAUCCCGGAGCAUCAAGGAUCAGAUUUGAUGUGGAGAGGAAAUGAGAUUAUGGCGCAAGAACUUUUUCCUCCUUCCCACCAACUCAUUAGCACGAAUCUUAGCAGCUAUUUCAUCUCUGUUAAACAAAAACAUCCACAUUUCAAGUGUAAUUAAAAGGUUAUCUUUUAUAUAUAUAGAUAUUCUACGAUAA
Long non-coding RNA from Brassica napus (rape), 886 nucleotides. RefSeq lists it as uncharacterized. The record is from RefSeq and is a predicted model, not a curated record. The transcript has 2 exons. NCBI's taxonomy places the organism in Eukaryota, Viridiplantae, Streptophyta, Magnoliopsida, Brassicales, Brassicaceae.